RNAcentral lists this ribosomal RNA (701 nucleotides) under Bacillus subtilis. RNAcentral describes it as "bacterial SSU rRNA". It matches the Rfam family "Bacterial small subunit ribosomal RNA", at positions 36 to 723 of the family's 1533-position model. Lineage: Bacteria; Bacillati; Bacillota; Bacilli; Caryophanales; Bacillaceae. The record is from RNAcentral.
CUGGGGGGUGCUAUACAUGCAGUCGAGCGGACAGAUGGGAGCUUGCUCCCUGAUGUUAGCGGCGGACGGGUGAGUAACACGUGGGUAACCUGCCUGUAAGACUGGGAUAACUCCGGGAAACCGGGGCUAAUACCGGAUGGUUGUCUGAACCGCAUGGUUCAGACAUAAAAGGUGGCUUCGGCUACCACUUACAGAUGGACCCGCGGCGCAUUAGCUAGUUGGUGAGGUAACGGCUCACCAAGGCGACGAUGCGUAGCCGACCUGAGAGGGUGAUCGGCCACACUGGGACUGAGACACGGCCCAGACUCCUACGGGAGGCAGCAGUAGGGAAUCUUCCGCAAUGGACGAAAGUCUGACGGAGCAACGCCGCGUGAGUGAUGAAGGUUUUCGGAUCGUAAAGCUCUGUUGUUAGGGAAGAACAAGUGCCGUUCAAAUAGGGCGGCACCUUGACGGUACCUAACCAGAAAGCCACGGCUAACUACGUGCCAGCAGCCGCGGUAAUACGUAGGUGGCAAGCGUUGUCCGGAAUUAUUGGGCGUAAAGGGCUCGCAGGCGGUUUCUUAAGUCUGAUGUGAAAGCCCCCGGCUCAACCGGGGAGGGUCAUUGGAAACUGGGGAACUUGAGUGCAGAAGAGGAGAGUGGAAUUCCACGUGUAGCGGUGAAAUGCGUAGAGAUGUGGAGGAACACCAGUGGCGAAGGCG